CUUGAUUUGUUAUAAGAGGUCCAGCCUGCCCAGUGACCAUGUUCAACGGCCGCGGUAUCCUAACCGUGCGAAGGUAGCGUAAUCACUUGUUCUUUAAAUGUGGACUAGUAUGAACGGCAUCACGAAGGUUAUACUGUCUCCUUUUUCUAAUCAGUGAAACUAAUCUCCCCGUGAAGAAGCGUGGAUAAAAUUAUAAGACGAGAAGACCCUAUGGAGCUUUAAACAACACAGCACUUACCUGAGAACCUUGAAUGUUUCUGUAACACUAACUCUUAGAGUAAGAUGACUGCAAGUUUUUGGUUGGGGUGACCACGGAGUAUAUCAUAACCUCCAUGUUGAAAGAAUUUCUCUAAGCCAAGAACAACCUAUCUAAGCAUUAAUAAAUUAACAUCUAUUGACCCAAUAAAUUUGACCAACGAAC
RNAcentral lists this ribosomal RNA (421 nucleotides) under Rhinella merianae group sp. ABGD cluster 39. Its description in RNAcentral is "partial large subunit ribosomal RNA". It matches the Rfam family "Bacterial large subunit ribosomal RNA", at positions 1834 to 2381 of the family's 2925-position model. The record is from RNAcentral. Lineage: Eukaryota; Metazoa; Chordata; Amphibia; Anura; Bufonidae.